RNAcentral lists this unclassified non-coding RNA (345 nucleotides) under soil metagenome. Its description in RNAcentral is "partial contains 5.8S ribosomal RNA, internal transcribed spacer 2, and large subunit ribosomal RNA". The stretch from base 1 to 121 matches the Rfam family "5.8S ribosomal RNA", at positions 35 to 154 of the family's 154-position model. The record is from RNAcentral.
GAUGAAGAACGCAGCGAAAUGCGAUAAGUAAUGCGAAUUGCAGAAUUUCCGUGAGUCAUCGAAUCUUUGAACGCACAUUGCGCCCACUGGUAUUCCGGUGGGCAUGCCUGUUCGAGCGUCAUUAUCCUCCCUCAAACCCCGGGUUUGGUGUUGGACCCAAGUUGUGUGAACAGCUGGUCUCAAAGACAAUGACGGCGUCCGUGGGACCCUCGGUGCAACGAGCUUUUAGGAGCACGCAUCGAGUUGCAAGGACCUUCCGGGCCGGUCUCCUUUACCAUUUUACAAGGUUGACCUCGGAUCAGGUAGGAAUACCCGCUGAACUUAAGCAUAUCAAUAAGCGGAGGA